AACGAACGCUGGCGGCGCGCCUAAUACAUGCAAGUCGAGCGAGAAGACGUAGCAAUACGUUUGUAAAGCGGCGAACGGGUGAGGAAUACAUGGGUAACCUACCCUCGAGUGGGGAAUAACUAGCCGAAAGGUUAGCUAAUACCGCGUACGCUCCUUGGACUUCGGUUCAGGGAGGAAAGCGAUACCGUGGGUAUCGCGCUCUUGGAUGGGCUCAUGUCCUAUCAGCUUGUUGGUGAGGUAACGGCUCACCAAGGCUUCGACGGGUAGCUGGUCUGAGAGGACGAUCAGCCACACUGGCACUGCGACACGGGCCAGACUCCUACGGGAGGCAGCAGUAAGGAAUAUUGCGCAAUGGGCGAAAGCCCUGACGCAGCGACGCCGCGUGGGGGAUGAAGGUCUUCGGAUUGUAAACCCCUUUCGGGAGGGAAGAUGGAACGAGCAAUCGUUCGGACGGUACCUCCAGAAGCAGCCACGGCUAACUUCGUGCCAGCAGCCGCGGUAAG
Molecule: ribosomal RNA, 503 nt
Filed under: uncultured bacterium
Lineage: Bacteria
Description: bacterial SSU rRNA
Rfam family: Bacterial small subunit ribosomal RNA
Source: RNAcentral